Molecule: unclassified non-coding RNA, 336 nt
Filed under: soil metagenome
Description: partial contains 5.8S ribosomal RNA, internal transcribed spacer 2, and large subunit ribosomal RNA
Rfam family: 5.8S ribosomal RNA (bases 1-120)
Source: RNAcentral
GAUGAAGAACGUAGCGAAAUGCGAUAAGUAAUGUGAAUUGCAGAAUUCAGUGAAUCAUCGAAUCUUUGAACGCACAUUGCGCCCGCCAGUAUUCUGGCGGGCAUGCCUGUUCGAGCGUCAUUUCAACCAUCAAGCCCCCGGCUUGUGUUGGGGACCUGCGGCUGCCGCAGGCCCUGAAAACCAGUGGCGGGCUCGCUAGUCACUCCGAGCGUAGUAAUACAUCUCGCUCAGGGCGUGCUGCGGGUUCCGACCGUUAAAAAAGCCUUAUUUACCCAAGGUUGACCUCGGAUCAGGUAGGAAGACCCGCUGAACUUAAGCAUAUCAAUAAGCGGAGGA